Molecule: ribosomal RNA, 445 nt
Filed under: uncultured bacterium
Lineage: Bacteria
Description: partial 16S ribosomal RNA
Rfam family: Bacterial small subunit ribosomal RNA
Source: RNAcentral
CCUACGGGAGUCAGCAGUCGAGAAUCAUUCACAAUGGAGGAAACUCUGAUGGUGCGACGCCGCGUGGAGGAAUGAAGGUCUUCGGAUUGUAAACCGCUGUCAUGUGGGAGCAAAUUAAAAAGAUAGUACCACAAGAUGAAGAGACGGUAACUCUGUGCCAGCGGCCGUGGUAAUACAGAGGUCUCAGGCGUUGUUCGGAUUCACUGGGCGUAAAGCGUGCGUAGGCUGUUUCGUAAGUCGUGUGUGAAAGGCGCGGGCUCAACCAGCGUAUGGCACAUGAUACUGCGAGACUAGAGUAAUGGAGGGGGAACCGGAAUUCUCGGUGUAGCAGUGAAAUGCGUAGAUAUCGAGAGGAACACUCGUGGCGAAGGCGGGUUCCUGGACAUUAACUGACGCUGAGGCACGAAGGCCAGGGGAGCGAAAGGGAUUAGAUACCCCUGUAGUC